GUAACAUGGUUUUUUCGGAUUCUAUAUUUUUUUUUAUUGAUACACUUUGGCACUGUUUUUCAAACUGUUAUACUCAUAUAAAUCCAAAAUUGUAUGAAUAUGUUGCUUUGAUACUCCUAUAUCAUCUUGCAGUGCAUUUGAUAUCAAUGCAGUGCACUACAUCCAAAAGUCUGCUGCAAUCACAGUUCAUAUUUCAAAAGGCAACUGUGAAUUACUAGCACUAUCGAGCAAUAGAAUACAUUUUUAUGUUAAAAAACUUUUAUUAUAGGAGCACUUUCGGCAAUUUGCCAUCGUCAGCUGCUACAAAAGAAUACAAUGUUUUCAAACAUCAAAUUCCUCAAUUUACAUAUUUAAAUUUAAAUUACAAUACAGUUCAUAUUUAUGAUCUGUCAUUAAC
RNAcentral lists this long non-coding RNA (397 nucleotides) under Androctonus crassicauda. The record is from RNAcentral. Lineage: Eukaryota; Metazoa; Arthropoda; Arachnida; Scorpiones; Buthidae.